UACGGAGGGUGCAAGCGUUAAUCGGAAUUACUGGGCGUAAAGCGCACGCAGGCGGUCUGUCAAGUCAGAUGUGAAAUCCCCGGGCUUAACCUGGGAACUGCAUUUGAAACUGGCAGGCUAGAGUCUUGUAGAGGGGGGUAGAAUUCCAGGUGUAGCGGUGAAAUGCGUAGAGAUCUGGAGGAAUACCGGUGGCGAAGGCGGCCCCCUGGACAAAGGCUGACGCUCAGGUGCGAAAGCGUGGGGAGCAAACAGG
RNAcentral lists this ribosomal RNA (253 nucleotides) under uncultured bacterium. RNAcentral describes it as "partial 16S ribosomal RNA". It matches the Rfam family "Bacterial small subunit ribosomal RNA", at positions 524 to 776 of the family's 1533-position model. The record is from RNAcentral.